UACGGGGGGAGCAAGCGUUGUUCGGAUUUACUGGGCGUAAAGGGCGCGUAGGCGGCCAGCACAAGUCAGUUGUGAAAUCUCCGAGCUUAACUCGGAACGGUCAACUGAUACUGUGCGGCUAGAGUGCGGAAGGGGCAACUGGAAUUCUUGGUGUAGCGGUGAAAUGCGUAGAUAUCAAGAGGAACACCUGCGGCGAAGGCGGGUUGCUGGGCCGACACUGACGCUGAGGCGCGAAAGCCAGGGGAGCGAACUGG
RNAcentral lists this ribosomal RNA (254 nucleotides) under uncultured bacterium. Its description in RNAcentral is "partial 16S ribosomal RNA". It matches the Rfam family "Bacterial small subunit ribosomal RNA", at positions 524 to 776 of the family's 1533-position model. The record is from RNAcentral.